ACCCCGAAAAGCCACACCCAGCGCAAGCUGGGGCCGGAAUGCCGAAUCGGGUCCCUUCUUAUUGCGGGAUGGCCGGGCUGCCGAA
Molecule: non-coding RNA, 85 nt
Filed under: Nitrospirota bacterium
Lineage: Bacteria; Pseudomonadati; Nitrospirota
Description: Nitrospirae bacterium c-di-GMP sequence
Rfam family: c-di-GMP-I riboswitch aptamer
About the family: GEMM was predicted in a large-scale screen for bacterial structured RNA regulatory elements. Genes associated with GEMM are involved in a diverse array of functions, including chemotaxis regulation, signal transduction, secretion and chitin.
Source: RNAcentral